Amborella trichopoda is the source of this 154-nucleotide non-coding RNA. Lineage: Eukaryota; Viridiplantae; Streptophyta; Magnoliopsida; Amborellales; Amborellaceae. The record is from Rfam.
CCCACACCCAUGUGUGUAGGACUCCAAAGGAUCACAUUUAAAUUUGGCACAGAUCUCUAGAAAAGUUAUCAUAUGGGUGUGGAACUUGACUUUUCUAGAGAUCUGUGCCAAAUUUAUUGGUAAUCUUUUGGGGUCCUACACACAUGGAUGUGGA